UACGGAGGGUGCAAGCGUUAUCCGGAUUCACUGGGCUUAAAGGGUGCGUAGGUGGGCAGGUAAGUCAGUGGUGAAAUCUCCAAGCUUAACUUGGAAACUGCCGUUGAUACUAUCUGUCUUGAAUACCGUGGAGGUGAGCGGAAUAUGUCAUGUAGCGGUGAAAUGCUUAGAUAUGACAUAGAACACCAAUUGCGAAGGCAGCUCGCUACACGAAUAUUGACGCUGAGGCACGAAAGCGUGGGGAGCAAACAGG
This 253-nucleotide ribosomal RNA is filed under the name uncultured bacterium. RNAcentral describes it as "partial 16S ribosomal RNA". It matches the Rfam family "Bacterial small subunit ribosomal RNA", at positions 524 to 776 of the family's 1533-position model. The record is from RNAcentral.